GACGAACGCUGGCGGCGGGCCUAAUACAUGCAAGUAGAACGCAGUUGCGAACGGGUGAGUAACGCGUAGGUAACUGCCUCAUAGCAGGGGAUAACUAUUGGAAACGAUAGCUAAUACCGCAUACUGGGAGAUGGACCUGAGUUGUAUUAGGUAGUUGGUGAGGUAAAGGCUCACCAAGGCGACGAUACAUAGCCUACCUGAGAGGGUGGUCGGGCACACUGGGACUGAGAAAAGGCCCAGAAUCCUUCGGGAGGCAGCAGUAGGGAAACUUUGGCAAUGGACGGAAGGCGGACCGAGCAACGCCGCGGGAGUGAAGAAGGUUUUCGGAUCGGAAAGCUCUGGUGUUAGAGAAGCGGUACCUAAACAGAAAGGGACGGCUAACUACGUGCCAGCAGCCGCGGUAAUAC
This 407-nucleotide ribosomal RNA is filed under the name uncultured bacterium. RNAcentral describes it as "partial 16S ribosomal RNA". It matches the Rfam family "Bacterial small subunit ribosomal RNA", at positions 28 to 526 of the family's 1533-position model. The record is from RNAcentral.